UCCCUGGUGGCCUAGUGGUUAGGAUUCAGCACUAUUACUGCUGUGGCCCAGGUUCAAUCCCUGGCCUGGGAA
This 72-nucleotide transfer RNA is filed under the name Sus scrofa (pig). Its description in RNAcentral is "tRNA-Asn (ATT) (tRNA-Asn-ATT-1-1)". It matches the Rfam family "tRNA". From Rfam's summary of the family: Transfer RNA (tRNA) molecules are approximately 80 nucleotides in length. Their secondary structure includes four short double-helical elements and three loops (D, anti-codon, and T loops). Lineage: Eukaryota; Metazoa; Chordata; Mammalia; Artiodactyla; Suidae. The record is from Rfam by way of RNAcentral.